UAAAUUACCAGCUCCAUCCGAAAAUCCCCUUUUUCUUUUAAUCGGAAAUUACGAAGCUCCUCCGAUCAGUUUCAUCGGAAAUUACCAGGCUACGCUCCUCCUCCACAGUUUCAUCGGAAAUUUUGAGGAGAUCGAUCGAGUUUCGAAGCUCCGAAAAAUCAUCGGAAACUACCAAGCUCCGAAAAAUCAACAAUCUCGUCCAAGCUCGUCCAUUAUCGAAAAUUUCCUCUGUUCCGACGAUCGAAAAAUCGCUUCUAGGCUCACAACUCCUCCAUAAUCAGCCGCACCAGAGGCGGCGUGCUAAUCCUUUAUAGUUUCUCCAAAUCUGAACCGGUUAUUCAACUCCAGGGUGAUCAGAGAAAGAACGUUUCUGCAUUUCUUGUCCAGGUGAUUGCUCUUUACACCAGGGUUGAAUUUGAAGUGGGAUUUCAGUUUUUUGGAGACUCUGGACAAGUGCAAUUGCCAAGAUAACUGCUUAGAAUCUUCUCUCUUUCUUGCUUUUCGUCUUCAUUUAGUCAGCAGGAGACAGAGGCUCGUACUUAAUUUGAAGUACACCUUCCUCUGUACUCCCUUCUAGUCUAUCCAAGUACACAAUCUCUCCUCAGGUUUUAAAAGAAGCUGAGAAAGUGAAGAAUUGGUUGAAUCAGAAGGAAGCUGAAUAGAAAGAAGAUUUUAAUAGUCAUGAAUCAAGAAGGGUGUUCAAGCAAAAACAAAAAAAUAUCCAACCGCAUUCCAGCUGGAUCACUCGCAUCUUUGCGAAACCAAAAGGUUUCGUCGUUGACAACAAAGAGAACCUCUCAAGCUAUAAGGUUUAAUGAAAAUGAAGAAAGACAAUCGGAAUCUCGAUCACUUGCAUUUUUGCGAAAUCAAUCGUUGACAACAAAAAGAACCUUUCAUGAAAAUGAAGAAAGACAAUCAGAAGCUGAGAAGGUUUCGCAAAGAUCUCAAAUGCAAGAAAAAGUGCGGCAAGUGCCAUUGAUUUCUACCUCUUCUACAGCACAAGGAGUACAAGAACAAGUGCGGCAAGUACCAAUGAAUUCCAUCACUCCUACAUCACAAGCUGUGCAUGAACCAUCUGAGGAUUCUACCAAUCAUGAAGCAAUUGAACAAUCUGAGGAACCAGGCAAGUAUAUAUAAAUUUAAUCAUAAAAUAAACUAACAGUGGUGAUUGGUGAUUAUCCUUGUUUUGUAUUAGUGCAGGCCCUUCCGCACCAAAAAGAAAAAGAGGCCCUACUCAAAUGCAAAGUGUGCACGGUAGGAAGGACCGUAAAAUAAUCGUGCUAAAUGAGUUCAAUCAACCCAUUGGUCCUACUAAUGAAGUUGUGAAAGAGUUGGGUAGCUUCCUCGGCACAUUGGGAAGGAAUGAGACCUUUUGUCCUCUUAAUGUAUUUGAUUGGAGGAAAGUAGAUAAAAAAAAUGAUAUUUGGAAAAUGUCAAGGAAAAAUAUGACAUUCCUGAAGAGGCGAAGAAUUGGGUUUUUGAUUCAGUUUGUACUGCUUGGAGAAAGUAUAAAAGUCAGUUGAAGAAAAAGCACUUUGAUGCAUAUGAGAAUGACGAGCUUCGAAUGGAGAAUAGGCCACAAAAUGUUCCGGCGUCUCAAUUUAAAGAUCUUCUUGACUAUUGGAACUCCGAUGCCGCCAAGAAAACGUCUGAAACCAAUAUCGAGAAUCGAAAAAAGUUGAUGCAUCCACACACUGCUGGCAAAACAAGUUUUGCUCGAAUCAUUGAGGAAAAAAAGAAGGAAAUGGCUGAUACUUCAGAUACUCUAUCAAGUAAGGAUAUCUUUGUGGCUACAAGAAAAAGAAAACCUGGUCGAGUAUACAAAAGCUCUUAUGAGGAUACAAUUAGUAAAAUUGCUGAAAUGGAAAGAAUACAAUCAAAUCAAGAAAGUGGAGAUGGUAGUGAUUCAGUUGAUGCGUUUGCAUCAGUCAUGGGACCUGAGCACCCAGGUCGGGCAAGAUUGUAUGGACGAGGAGUGAACAGAACUGUCUUAAAAAAGAAAAAAGGAGAUUUUGGAUCCUCUGUAAAUGCUACUACUGAUGAGAGAAUGGAACAAAAAAUUGAGGAAAUGGAAGAGAGGAUGCAACAAAAAUUGUUGGAAAAGCUCAAUGCACAAAAGGAAAAAAUGCUGGAAGAGCUCAAUGCACAAAAGGAUGCUAUGGAACAAGAUAUUACGAUGAACGUCGUUACACGACUUCAACGUCUCAACCCCGAUUUAAGACUUGAUCCUGACAUGCUAAUAUUCAGUGCUCGUGCACAUGGCGAAGCUGCUUCUGCACAACAAGGUGCUAUUCAACCAAUCAAUCGUCCAUCCGCAAGGAAAGGCUUAGUUGAAAUAUUUUGACAAGCUGCAAACUGGUCAGCUUGAAGAAGCAUCAUUUUCACAUCUUGUCAGGAAUUUGCAUUAGGAGGUGGAGUAGACGAAGAGAUGGAAGACGGAGGCAGUGAUGAAGAUUUAGACCUUACUUUGAAUUUUGAAUUGUUAGAUUGUUGUAGAUGCAUGUGGUGGUUUCUAAGAUUGUUUGUUAUCAAAACAUUUUAAAACUUUUGAUCUUGAAAUAUCAAAUGUAUGUUAUUGGUUUCAUCACUAUUUAUGGAUUUAUUAUUAA
Molecule: RNA transcript, 2609 nt
Organism: Nicotiana attenuata
Lineage: Eukaryota; Viridiplantae; Streptophyta; Magnoliopsida; Solanales; Solanaceae
Exons: 11
Source: RefSeq, a predicted model, not a curated record